This 92-nucleotide transfer RNA is filed under the name Felis catus (domestic cat). It matches the Rfam family "tRNA". From Rfam's summary of the family: Transfer RNA (tRNA) molecules are approximately 80 nucleotides in length. Their secondary structure includes four short double-helical elements and three loops (D, anti-codon, and T loops). Lineage: Eukaryota; Metazoa; Chordata; Mammalia; Carnivora; Felidae. The record is from Rfam by way of RNAcentral.
GCCUGGGUGGCUCAGUUGGUUGAGCAUCUGACUUUUGCUUUUGGCUCAGGUCAUGAUCUCAUGAUUCGUGGGUUCAAGCCCCACAUCAGGCU